GAGAGAGAGAGAGAAUUGUAAAAAAUCGACUACGUUGAUACGGCGGCGGGCCUCUCGGCCGCGCGAUCCGGCGUUAGCGACGAGAUGAAAAACGGGCAGAUGUUCGCGCGAUCGAAACACAUUGUUUCGAUCGCACGUAGAACGAGAACAGUCCGAUAGAUCAGACGGAUAUUUCGGUCGCGGGCGGUUGUUGCCAGCCUCCGAAUACUCUCUCGAUUUCUUUCGCCAUGGCGAUGGUCAGCUGAUCGUUGCCGGUGUUCGCGAUGAUCUGCGGACAGAACGGCGUUUUUAUUAUCUGGCGAGGGACACGAGCGAGAACAGAUACCGCGUUAUCGUUGCGAAAAUAGUUUUUAAUCGCCGCUCUUCAAAAUUUUGUUUGCACGGCGUAAACGGGCUAUCGGUAAUUGGAUAACGAUAACAACGAUUCCGUACGAAUGUCGCGAUAAGGGAACUCCGAUACGUAUACAGCAGCGUGCAUAAUUAUAGGACACGAAGUAACGUCCAUAAAACAUCUGUAUUUGUGCAUUUCCAUUUUCUAUUAUUUUUAACAUAGAAAUACGCAAAUACGGUGUUCGGUUAUGUUGUUGUUUAAAUAUUGCGGAAAAUGUAGAAGUUACUUUGGGUCUAUAAUUGUUCACACCACUGUACAUGCUCGGCAUGAUCGAUUCGUUGCCGAUGUUGGAAAUAAUUACUUGAACGCCGACUGGCAGUCCUUUGCUGUUCAAUCCCAUCGGGCACUGGGUCACCGGAAGUCCUAGCACGUUGUAGAGCAUCAUGUAAGUGUAGUUCGCGACUCUGGGGUACAUCUGGUACCGGUAGUGAGCCGGGCCGAUGAACGACGGAUAGAUUAGGACGCCGUUGUCGCCUAAAACGUCCUGAGAGGUCGCGAGACUCGUCAGUAUUUUCGAAAUAUCUAAAUUAACUUCGAUCGUCGUCAAUCGGGUUUUUAAUGCCGCGUUACCUCGAAUUGCUUCUUCAGCGACACUGCCUUGUCCGCCAUUUUGUUGCGAUAGCCCUUAGGUAAUUUCCCGAAGACCCAUUUCACAAUUCCGUACGACAGGAUCGACAGAGAGUAACGCGAGACGCAGAAGAGGUACUUGAUCGCCUCCAGCAGGAUUUUGCUGGACCUCUAUAAAAAUGACGAUGUCAUUUUAUACACUUUAAUAUUAUCGUUAAUAUUUGCUAUUAAGAUAUCUUUAGUAUUAGAAUAUUUAAUAUGUAAAUAUCAAAGAUAUUUUUGACUAUCUAAUUAUUUGAAAUGUUCAACUUUAAUAUUACCGAGGCUUCGAAUUCGUCCUCGACGUCGUCCACCGUCAUGUUCAGCAGGGAACGAACAGCUAUAUCGAAUGCAUACUUCAUGUCGUUGAACUUCGCCUGCAGAAUAUAUUUGUAACAAUUAAUUGGUUCAUUUAUAUUUCAUUGUAUAUCUGCAAAUUGUAUUAACAAACCUGUUGCACCUUGACCCCAUAGGUCGCUUCCAGAUAGUUCCUCAGCUUGUCUAUGGCUUGCUUCAUGUCGCUGUUGAUGCCGCUGGUUAUGCCGCAGCAUUCUUCCAAGUAGAAGAACUUCAUAUUCUUCAAAGAUACCUAGAAGACGAAGACGACAGCGAGGCUAAGACACCGCAAGACCCUUUCGCUUCCAAAACAUGUUGUUACCGUUUGACUGAAUCGCAGACGGACAUCCUCGUCGGACACGAUGCUCAUCAUCAACGGGAGAUCCUCCGCGUAUCUGGUCAUCGUGCCGAUCGUGAAAUAAUUGUUCCAGUUCUGGUCCGACGAGAUCGGCUUGUGACCGGUGCAGCAUAUCAUGUCUGUGAUGAUGCAACAAUUGUUAUAGUUUUGGAAUUUAAAUAGCAACGUUUCUUGACACGUUAAGUGCCGAAUAUCAGCUCGGAAAAUUCAUACAAUUAAUGAAACCGAAACUAUGGAGAGUAAAAAUUUUCCAUAGGAAAUAUGGCGAUACUCACGAGCCGAGGGUUUGUGACCGAAAAUCCCGCAGCACAUAGCCGGAUAUCUAGAGGAUCCAGCGAUGUCCGAUGAGAUACUGAUGAUGGACGCCGCAGAACUCAGAAGAGCAGCCUACGACAAGAUCGAAAGGGACAGUUAACGACAAUAGACAUUUCUCUAUCCUCGGGUGCGCGAUAUUCUUGUCGAUACGGUUUAAAAAACCGGAAUAUCAUUGCUGGAAAACCGUGACUGUUAUAGCCGCUUUAUGGCCGCGCGACCGCCAUGUUGAAUGCUUCGCGACUAGCAUCGCUUCACCGGGCGUUCAGGUCACCGUCGUAAUGAACAUAAUUGCUGGUUACGAACCUCGCCACCCGAGGAACCACCGGCUGUCCUGUUGGUGUCGUAAGGGUUCCAGGUUGUUCCAGUUACUUUGUUAUUACUCUCCCAAGCCAGACACAUCUCCGGCGUGUUGCUGACGAGCAGAAUUAUGGCGCCCGCUUCGCGAACCCUGUUCACGACCACCGCGUCCUCGUCGGCUCUGUCCAAAACCUUUUUCUUCACGCCCACCGUGUGAGACAUACCUGCGAAAUUUGAAUAUUAUUAAUAUCGACGAGAUAAGCACUAUUUGCGAUCUUUGAAUUCGAAAAAUCGAACGUUUUUAAUCGAAAAGUACUUUUUGAACAUUUUAACUCUCGUCUAGCCUACGUCUCCUCGCCUCGGAUCACCCUUUACGCUCAAGGAACGAAAAUCAGUGCGAUGGAGAGACGUAUGCAAAAUUAUGAGAAAUUAUUUUAUAGUCAUAGUAUAGCGAACUUAAUCGUUCUAACGUCUAAAAACAAAACCAAGUCGUUCAGUCUUUAGUUUGAAGAAAGUUAUACCGUUUUGAAAGUAACGAAUUGUCUCUUUCGACAGGCAUGGGAAGCAUGGAGAAUACGACAAAAUUCAUGAAGAAAACACGCAAUGUAGGCCUACGAACGAAGACCGAAGAGAACUGCGAUUAUCUGACAAGGACCGCAAGAUAAUCGGGAAAAUUCGCAUUACGUUCUACGGAAUGCUGGAGUCCGGCGAGUGUCACUGGAAACUAUGAUUACGGCAUGUCAGAUCGGAAUGCAUACAAAGUUUAAUUGAAAUCGGAGAAAUAAUUUUCCGGUUCAAAGAUUAUCGCUGGGCGGUCUAGCGAAACCGCGAAGAAAGUGAUAUCGGCGCCGCAUUGUAAGCAUAUGCAUGUAAUUCUCUACAAAGUCCAUAACCCGUUGAUAACCCGUGCGUGUAUCACGAACGACGCAGUAAGGAGCGUGCGACCAAAGAUCAACCGCGCCGAAAGUUUCGUGAGCCGAUUAACGGAGGAUGAAUAAUGGCUUCCCGGCUAUGGCCGGCAAACAAAGGGAACAAAGGCGCCGGGGAAUGCGUUGCGAGAAUAUUUACGGGCGUCGAACGUGCUAAAAUGGUAGCUCGUUAGGACGGAGAAAGUUCAAACACUUCCCCGAGGAUCGGGUCGAAUUCGAGAAUCGGGAAGCGAGAAUCAUCGAUCCGAAAGUUGAGUCAACCUUUGUCGAAUAAUUUCAAUCGAAUCAUUCGUUCGAUCAAUGCUUUUCUCGGACGAAUUUUCGCGUAACACCGUAGACGUCUUUGCCUGAUUGAACUCGAAUCCCAUCGUCUACGGUGUGCCAAACCGGUUUCAAGACACUGUGUGGUCAUUCAUUUCUGUUUGCGAUUGUAACGCGUGGGAAACGCCGAGGCUUCGAAACGACGCACACUGUCCUACAUACUACGAUCAUUUUUUUCCAUUAUUCUUCAGUCCAACGACACGUGGACUGGCAGCAUUUCCAUAUGUUACCUCACCUCGCGUAAAUCACAGUUCCUCGAAGAUAAUUCGCUGGCUUUUGCGUUACAGUUCCUUCCAUACAGGCCGACUCAAUGUACAAUAUCAGUAACUUUGUUUACAGUAGCUUGAAUUAAUGAGAAAAUUAAUCGAAUGUUUAACGUAUAAAUUGGUUGAACCUUCUUAGAUGGCAUUAUUAUUUUCUUUAUGCAGUGAAUAAUUUUUUUAGUUGACGAAGGAAACUGAUAGUAGUUUCUGUAAAAUGAGUUUAGCCUAGUUGUUGCACAGAUAGUGAAAGCGUUGGGGUCAUGUCCGAUUCUCGGACGUUUUACUUCUUUGAGCCAGCCUGUAGAAUGGAACGCGAACGCGGUCACAUAAUUGUCGAUGCGGUACUCAUGGAAUUACGACGCUGUUGCAUCGAUCGCACGAACCUUGCACGGCGAUGCUCUCCUUGACCGUCAUGGGAACACCGAGAAGUGGCAUGUCCUGUCCAAUCUCUGCCUCGGUUUUCGUAGUGCACAACAAAAACUCGUCAACCUUUCGCGCCUCUUGAACCGCCGCCUCGUAUCUCGUGUCCACGAUCGCGUUUAGCAUCGGAUUCACGUCCUGGCAUCUUUUUAUGUACGCUUUGACCACUUCUUCGCUGCUGACCUGGAGGAAUUAGACGACGAAAGUAAGAGAAUUCAUUUGGAAAUGGUGCUUGAACUCGGUCCACCGGUUUUGGACCCCUCUGUUAAACAGAAUGAUUUAGAAAUAUUUUUCAACUUUGGCCAUCACUUUUGAAUCACCUUGCACUGUCAUAAUUUUGUCUAAACAUCCAGAGAAUUUCAUCAAUUACUAUGCUGUACGUAGCCUUCGGUCUGCCUAUAGAAGAAGAUUCUUUUUAAAUGAUCGCCCCAAAGCGAGAAACGAAUUUGAGAAAGCGAGGCCACGGUCUCUUAGCACAAUUUAUACCAUGCUGACCAGCAGCCCGAUUUGUAAAUAACGGGACGUGAUAUUUCGCCUAAUCGAACCUGUAUACUUCUAGAUCCCACGAGCAGAGUAGCGGCAAACCGAAGGCCCAUUCUUGCGAUUGCGUCACCGAGUCACAAGAUCAAAUUGAGACAAUAUUGUUGUACUUUGGAGCCUGCAAGUACCUGUUUUCUUCGAAUUCGCCUGGCCAGCUCGGCGGCCGGUAACAGCAGCAAAUGAUUCCUGAUCGGCGGCAGCUGUCUCUGUUUCCGGAAGCUCUGCAGCAGGAUCAGCGGCAUCACCAGACAUUCCAAUAAGAAAAGUAGAAACUUCAGGAUCUUCUGAAGCACCAGUGCGAACGUGUCCUGCGAAAAAGCCCAACCGAUCGAUAAAACGAUAUGCCUGAGUUCUCCAAUAUGGCGGGAAUAGUUCAAUCGGUAGUAUUAGACGAAUUGACAUUGCUAAAGCAAUCUAUGCGCCGGGGUCUUUGACAUGCUAAUGAGAACGGGUAGAGAAAGCUUUGGCGCUUAUUCUUUUUUCCUCAAAGUCCCGCUUAUCAAAUUAAUCGCAUGUAAACCAUGCAACAGUUGGUAUAGAGGCUUGAACGUGUUUGAAGCUGAAGCGUUUAAAAGAUGGAUGCUCAAGUGCUCAACAGAUUGAAAAUCGAAAAUGCAAGCUCGGGGGAUUAAAACUUCAUGCUCAAAUUGGAUAUUGCGGCGCUCAGAAGAUUGUUAACUAAAGCUCAAAAGCUUAAAAUAUUGAAGAUUGUAAUUCUAAAAAUUGAAGACCAAAGCUUGGAAGAUUUGAGACUGAAGCUUGGAGCUCAGAAGAUUAAACAUUGCAUCUCUGGAGAUUGAAGAUCCAUUAGAAGAUUAUUCCACAUUUGCUCGACUUCGUUAGAAGCGUAAUACUGCGUUUCGCUUCUCGAUCAAUGAUCGAUUGAUGGGAUACUUUUUGUAAAACAGUGAUCUAUUUUGUCCUUGACAAUCAGAAUGACCGGAAGGUGUACGAAUAAUUAAGGAUAAACGUUUGUAAAUGUAGGUAUCGUGAACAAAGGGCAAAUGUUUCUUUCGGACCACUCUGAACAUCGAUCGUAACUCGAUAACUCACCGAGUUAUUACCGAGAAACUUCAUGUAAAGUAUCGGCAAUAUGCAGAGUAUAUACUCCA
Molecule: non-coding RNA, 5888 nt
Organism: Megalopta genalis
Lineage: Eukaryota; Metazoa; Arthropoda; Insecta; Hymenoptera; Halictidae
Source: RefSeq, a predicted model, not a curated record